This 72-nucleotide transfer RNA is filed under the name Bos taurus (domestic cattle). It matches the Rfam family "tRNA". From Rfam's summary of the family: Transfer RNA (tRNA) molecules are approximately 80 nucleotides in length. Their secondary structure includes four short double-helical elements and three loops (D, anti-codon, and T loops). RNAcentral also lists the same sequence under 3 other names. Lineage: Eukaryota; Metazoa; Chordata; Mammalia; Artiodactyla; Bovidae. The record is from Rfam by way of RNAcentral.
UCCCUGGUGGCUCAGAUGGUAAAGCAUCUGCCUACAAUGCAGGAAGCCUGGAUUCAAUCCCUGGGUUGGGAA